AUGAACGCUAGCUACAGGCUUAACACAUGCAAGUCGAGGGGCAUCAGUUUGGUUUGCUUGCAAACCAAAGCUGGCGACCGGCGCACGGGUGAGUAACACGUAUCCAACCUGCCUCAUACUCGGGGAUAGCCUUUCGAAAGAAAGAUUAAUAUCCGAUAGCAUAUAUUUCCCGCAUGGGUUUUAUAUUAAAGAAAUUCGGUAUGAGAUGGGGAUGCGUUCCAUUAGUUUGUUGGGGGGGUAACGGCCCACCAAGACUACGAUGGAUAGGGGUUCUGAGAGGAAGGUCCCCCACAUUGGAACUGAGACACGGUCCAAACUCCUACGGGAGGCAGCAGUGAGGAAUAUUGGUCAAUGGACGCGAGUCUGAACCAGCCAAGUAGCGUGAAGGAUGACUGCCCUAUGGGUUGUAAACUUCUUUUAUAUGGGAAUAAAGUGGUCCACGUGUGGACUUUUGUAUGUACCAUAUGAAUAAGGAUCGGCUAACUCCGUGCCAGCAGCCGCGGUAAUACGGAGGAUCCGAGCGUUAUCCGGAUUUAUUGGGUUUAAAGGGAGCGUAGGCGGAUUGUUAAGUCAGUUGUGAAAGUUUGCGGCUCAACCGUAAAAUUGCAGUUGAUACUGGCAGUCUUGAGUGCAGUAGAGGUGGGCGGAAUUCGUGGUGUAGCGGUGAAAUGCUUAGAUAUCACGAAGAACUCCGAUUGCGAAGGCAGCUCACUGGAGUGUAACUGACGCUGAUGCUCGAAAGUGUGGGUAUCAAACAGGAUUAGAUACCCUGGUAGUCCACACAGUAAACGAUGAAUACUCGCUGUUUGCGAUAUACAGUAAGCGGCCA
This 829-nucleotide ribosomal RNA is filed under the name uncultured organism. Its description in RNAcentral is "SSU rRNA". It matches the Rfam family "Bacterial small subunit ribosomal RNA", at positions 29 to 849 of the family's 1533-position model. The record is from RNAcentral.